This 767-nucleotide ribosomal RNA is filed under the name uncultured bacterium. Its description in RNAcentral is "bacterial SSU rRNA". It matches the Rfam family "Bacterial small subunit ribosomal RNA", at positions 59 to 841 of the family's 1533-position model. The record is from RNAcentral.
CAGUCGAACGGACGAUGAAGAGCUUGCUUUUCAAGUUAGUGGCGGACGGGUGACUUUUGCGUGGGUAACCUGCCUCAUACAGGGGAAUAGCAGCUGGAAACGGCUGAUAAAACCGCAUAAGCGCACAGUGCCGCAUGGCACAGUGUGAAAAACUCCGGUGGUAUGAGAUGGACCCGCGUCUGAUUAGCUGGUUGGCGGGGUAACGGCCCACCAAGGCGACGAUCAGUAGCCGGCCUGAGAGGGUGAUCGGCCACAUUGGGACUGAGACACGGCCCAAACUCCUACGGGAGGCAGCAGUGGGGAAUAUUGCACAAUGGGGGAAACCCUGAUGCAGCGACGCCGCGUGAAGGAAGAAGUAUCUCGGUAUGUAAACUUCUAUCAGCAGGGAAGAUAAUGACGGUACCUGACUAAGAAGCCCCGGCUAACUACGUGCCAGCAGCCGCGGUAAUACGUAGGGGGCAAGCGUUAUCCGGAUUUACUGGGUGUAAAGGGAGCGUAGGCGGCGGAGCAAGUCAGAAGUGAAAGCCCGGGGCUCAACCCCGGGACGGCUUUUGAAACUGCCCUGCUUGAUUUCAGGAGAGGUAAGCGGAAUUCCUAGUGUAGCGGUGAAAUGCGUAGAUAUUAGGAGGAACACCAGUGGCGAAGGCGGCUUACUGGACUGACAAUGACGCUGAGGCUCGAAAGCGUGGGGAGCAAACAGGAUUAGAUACCCUGGUAGUCCACGCCGUANACGAUGAAUACUAGGUGUCGGGGCNCAUAAGAGCUUC